Molecule: long non-coding RNA, 1391 nt
Organism: Choloepus didactylus (southern two-toed sloth)
Lineage: Eukaryota; Metazoa; Chordata; Mammalia; Pilosa; Megalonychidae
Exons: 4
Source: RefSeq, a predicted model, not a curated record
UUGACUUAUAUAAGCUUAAUAUACUUGAAGCUAUUUUAUUGAGCAAUUAUGUACCUGAUACAUUAUUAAUUUUAUUAAAUAUUCAGAGCAGUACCACAAGGCAGGUGGAGGUCUGUUAUAUCCAUUUCACAGGUAAGAAAGCUGAGGCUAAAAGAAGUCAAAUGAUUUUCUAAGGCCAUUGAGGUAGCGACAUAGUGUAAAUUUGAACACAAAUUCUCAAGAUCUUAGAGCCUUUAACUAACAUUCUCUGCAGGAUAAGACCCAUGAUGUUGAUUUCAUUUUAAAAAUAUUCAUGCAACCUGGUUAAAUGGCUGAUCUUACAGUCUGUAGUUAAUAAUUAGAAUACUGUCUCCCGAUCAUUGUGCUCUUCUACUAAAAUUCUGCCUUAUGAAUAUUUUCCUCACUUCUGGUUGCUAAACUUAGUCUGAAAAUAUUUAAACAGAAAUAACAAUGAUGUAUUAUGGUGAAAUGGAAGUUCUUAUUUAAGGAAAAACUGAACAUUGUUAGAGGAUAUUCAGAAAUGCGGGGCUUCUUAAUCCAAAUUUGAAUCUUCCUUCCUUACCUUCUCCACAUCUCCUAGACCCUCGGUGUCAAGCAGAACUAGGGUGUGGUUUGUUUUCUUGGGAUGAGGUACACACCACAUCCAGAUUCCCUUGGUGUGAGAUUGCACUGUGGAGCCCAGAGAGAAACCUGCAAAGAGGAAGAGGGAUAUAAGAAAGGGACAUUUGUACUUUUAUAAAGCAAAGUGGAAAGAGAAUGAGCCGACCCUUAUCGUCCAGAUGAAAGUGAAGAUAAAAAUCCCAACUGUGAAGUGAAGAUUAGCUUUAAAUAUUUUUCUCUAUCUCCAGACUUUCUCUCCUUACAUCACUGUAUACAGUGUUGUACAGUGUGGAUGGACAGGAGGGACUCAUUUGAGCUUUCUGGUGCCACUUACCCUUUUUCUUCCCGGCCAGCUUGUUCAUCAGUAAAAAAUACUUUGCUGAGACUUCUGCUUCUGGCCAUAUUAGAGUAACAGACACUGGAUUAUUCACUUCACAUGAAACAACCAAAAGAUGGAUAAAUAUAUUAAACAGUGAUUUUCGAGACACUAGACAUCAGAUCCAAGAAGCUCAGCAAACUCCAACCAAGUAAAGAAAAUGUCCCUAAAGCACAUCAUAAUCAAGUUUCUCAAACUCAGUGAUAAAGGGAAAAAUCUCAAAAGAAUCCAGAGUAAGAAGACAGGUUAAGUACAGAGGAACAAAUACAUGGACAAUAGCAGAUUUCUCAAGGAUACAGUGGAAGCAAGAAGAGGGUGGAGCAACAUCUCUAAAAUACUGAAGAAAAAAAAAAAUCAACCUAGAAUUCUAUACUUAGAGAAAACAUGUUUCAGAAGCAGAGGAGAGAUCCCACCC